Molecule: ribosomal RNA, 253 nt
Filed under: uncultured bacterium
Lineage: Bacteria
Description: partial 16S ribosomal RNA
Rfam family: Bacterial small subunit ribosomal RNA
Source: RNAcentral
UACGGGGGGGGCAAGCGUUGUUCGGAAUUACUGGGCGUAAAGGGCGCGUAGGCGGUCUGACAAGUGGAAGGUGAAAUCCCCGCGCUUAACGUGGGAACUGCCUUCCAAACUGUUUGACUUGAGUCCGGGAGAGGUGAGUGGAAUUCCCUGUGUAGCGGUGAAAUGCGUAGAUAUUGGGAGGAACACCAGUGGCGAAGGCGGCUCACUGGACCGGAACUGACGCUGAGGCGCGAAAGCGUGGGGAGCAAACAGG